This 659-nucleotide ribosomal RNA is filed under the name uncultured Bacilli bacterium. RNAcentral describes it as "bacterial SSU rRNA". It matches the Rfam family "Bacterial small subunit ribosomal RNA", at positions 75 to 720 of the family's 1533-position model. Lineage: Bacteria; Bacillati; Bacillota; Bacilli. The record is from RNAcentral.
GGUGCUUGCACCGAGCGGAUGAGUUGCGAACGGGUGAGUAACGCGUAGGUAACCUGCCUCUUAGCGGGGGAUAACUAUUGGAAACGAUAGCUAAUACCGCAUAAAAGUCGAUAUCGCGUGAUAUUGAUUUGAAAGGUGCAAUUGCAUCACUAAGAGAUGGACCUGCGUUGUAUUAGCUAGUUGGUGAGGUAACGGCUCACCAAGGCGACGAUACAUAGCCGACCUGAGAGGGUGAUCGGCCACACUGGGACUGAGACACGGCCCAGACUCCUACGGGAGGCAGCAGUAGGGAAUCUUCGGCAAUGGGGGCAACCCUGACCGAGCAACGCCGCGUGAGUGAAGAAGGUUUUCGGAUCGUAAAGCUCUGUUGUAAGAGAAGAACGAGUGUGAGAGUGGAAAGUUCACACUGUGACGGUAGCUUACCAGAAAGGGACGGCUAACUACGUGCCAGCAGCCGCGGUAAUACGUAGGUCCCGAGCGUUAUCCGGAUUUAUUGGGCGUAAAGCGAGCGCAGGCGGUUAGAUAAGUCUGAAGUUAAAGGCUGUGGCUUAACCAUAGUACGCUUUGGAAACUGUUUAACUUGAGUGCAGAAGGGGAGAGUGGAAUUCCAUGUGUAGCGGUGAAAUGCGUAGAUAUAUGGAGGAACACCGGUGGCGAAA